GACGAACGCUGGCGGCGUGCUUAACACAUGCAAGUCGAACGAUGAAGCCUUAGCUUGCUUUGGUGGAUUAGUGGCGAACGGGUGAGUAACACGUGAGCAACGUGCCCAGGACUCUGGAAUAACCGCGGGAAACCGUGGCUAAUACCGGAUAGGUGCCGAGGCCGCAUGGUCUUCGGUUGGAAAGUUUUUGCGGUUCUGGAUCGGCUCACGGCCUAUCAGCUUGUUGGUGGGGUAAUGGCCUACCAAGGCGACGACGGGUAGCCGGCCUGAGAGGGUGACCGGCCACACUGGGAUUGAGACACGGCCCAGACUCCUACGGGAGGCAGCAGUGGGGAAUAUUGCACAAUGGGCGCAAGCCUGAUGCAGCAACGCCGCGUGGGGGAUGACGGCCUUCGGGUUGUAAACCUCUUUUAGUAGGGAAGAAGCGCAAGUGACGGUACCUGCAGAAAAAGCACCGGCUAACUACGUG
RNAcentral lists this ribosomal RNA (469 nucleotides) under uncultured bacterium. RNAcentral's name for it is "partial 16S ribosomal RNA". It matches the Rfam family "Bacterial small subunit ribosomal RNA", at positions 28 to 507 of the family's 1533-position model. The record is from RNAcentral.